UACGUAGGGUGCAAGCGUUGUCCGGAAUUAUUGGGCGUAAAGAGCUCGUAGGCGGUUUGUUGCGUCGGCUGUGAAAAUCCCGAGGCUCAACCUCGGGUCUGCAGUCGAUACGAGCAAACUAGAGUGUUGCAGGGGGAGACUGGAAUUCCUGGUGUAGCGGUGAAAUGCGCAGAUAUCAGGAGGAACACCGGUGGGCGAAAGGCGGGUCUCUGGGCAACAACUGACGCUGGAGGAGCG
Molecule: ribosomal RNA, 237 nt
Filed under: uncultured bacterium
Lineage: Bacteria
Description: partial 16S ribosomal RNA
Rfam family: Bacterial small subunit ribosomal RNA
Source: RNAcentral